UGACGGAGCAACGCCGCGUGAGUGAUGAAGGUUUUCGGAUCGUAAAGCUCUGUGUUAGGGAAGAACAAGUACCGUUCGAAUAGGGCGGUACCUUGACGGUACCUAACCAGAAAGCCACGGCUAACUACGUGCCAGCAGCCGCGGUAAUACGUAGGUGGCAAGCGUUGUCCGGAAUUAUUGGGCGUAAAGCGCGCGCAGGUGGUCCUUAAGUCUGAUGUGAAAGCCCACGGCUCAACCGUGGAGGGUCAUUGGAAACUGGGGAACUUGAGUGCAGAAGAGGAAAGUGGAAUUCCAAGUGUAGCGGUGAAAUGCGUAGAUAUUUGGAGGAACACCAGUGGCGAAGGCGACUUUCUGGUCUGUAACUGACACUGAGGCGCGAAAGCGUGGGGAGCAAACAGGAUUAGAUACCCUGGUAGUCCACGCCGUAAACGAUGAGUGCUAAGUGUUAGGGGGUUUCCGCCCCUUAGUGCUGCAGCUAACGCAUUAAGCACUCCGCCUGGGGAGUACGGUCGCAAGACUG
RNAcentral lists this ribosomal RNA (520 nucleotides) under uncultured Bacillota bacterium. RNAcentral describes it as "bacterial SSU rRNA". It matches the Rfam family "Bacterial small subunit ribosomal RNA", at positions 384 to 896 of the family's 1533-position model. The record is from RNAcentral. Lineage: Bacteria; Bacillati; Bacillota.